AGGACUAACGCUGGCGGCGUGCCUAACACAUGCAAGUCGAACGAGGUAGCAAUACCUAGUGGCAGACGGGUGAGUAACGCGUGGUCAACCUACCUCUUAGUGGGGGAUAACUAGCCGAAAGGUUAGCUAAUACCGCAUACGAUCGUCGCGAGGCAUCUCGUGACGAUGAAAGGAGCAAUUCGCUAAGAGAGGGGACUGCGUCCCAUUAGUUAGUUGGUGGGGUAAUGGCCCACCAAGACUCCGAUGGGUAGCUGGCUUGAGAGAGCGACCAGCCACACUGGAACUGAGACACGGUCCAGACUCCUACGGGAGGCAGCAGUGAGGAAUUUUCCGCAAUGGGCGCAAGCCUGACGGAGCGACGCCGCGUGUGGGAAGAAGGCCUUCGGGUCGUAACCACUGUCGAAGGGGACGAUAUUGACGGUACCCUUGGAGGAGCCCGGCUACUACGCGCCAGCAGCCGC
Molecule: ribosomal RNA, 461 nt
Filed under: uncultured bacterium
Lineage: Bacteria
Description: SSU rRNA
Rfam family: Bacterial small subunit ribosomal RNA
Source: RNAcentral